RNAcentral lists this ribosomal RNA (520 nucleotides) under uncultured Glomus. RNAcentral describes it as "SSU rRNA". It matches the Rfam family "Eukaryotic small subunit ribosomal RNA", at positions 569 to 1089 of the family's 1831-position model. Lineage: Eukaryota; Fungi; Glomeromycota; Glomeromycetes; Glomerales; Glomeraceae. The record is from RNAcentral.
AGCAGCCGCGGUAAUUCCAGCUCCAAUAGCGUAUAUUAAAGUUGUUGCAGUUAAAAAGCUCGUAGUUGAAUUUCGGGGUCAGUAAGUUGGUCGUGCCACUGGUAUGUACUGGCUUUACUGAUUCCUCCUUCUUGUAGAACCGUAAUGCCAUUAAGUUGGUGUUGCGGGAAAACAGGACUAUUACUUUGAAAAAAUUAGAGUGUUUAAAGCAAGCUAACGCUUGAAUACAUUAGCAUGGAAUAAUGAAAUAGGACGAACGAUCCUAUUUUGUUGGUUUCUAGGAUUGACGUAAUGAUUAAUAGGGAUAGUUGGGGGGCAUUAGUAUUCAAUUGUCAGAGGUGAAAUUCUUGGAUUUAUUGAAGACUAACUACUGCGAAAGCAUUUGCCAAGGAUGUUUUCAUUAAUCAAGAACGAAAGUUAGGGGAUCGAAGACGAUCAGAUACCGUCGUAGUCUUAACCAUAAACUAUGCCGACUAGGGAUCGGAUGAUGUUAAUUUUUUAAUGACUCAUUCGGCGCCUU